GAACGAAAGUUAGAGGUUCGAAGGCGAUCAGAUACCGCCCUAGUUCUAACCAUAAACGAUGCCAGCUAGCAAUUGGGUGUAGCUACUUUUAUGGCUCUCUCAGUCGCUUCCCGGGAAACCAAAGCUUUUGGGCUCCGGGGAAGUAUGGUUGCAAAGCUGAAACUUAAAGGAAUUGACGGAAGGGCACCACCAGGAGUGGAGCCUGCGGCU
RNAcentral lists this ribosomal RNA (210 nucleotides) under Bacillus tequilensis. Its description in RNAcentral is "partial 16S ribosomal RNA". It matches the Rfam family "Eukaryotic small subunit ribosomal RNA", at positions 981 to 1190 of the family's 1831-position model. Lineage: Bacteria; Bacillati; Bacillota; Bacilli; Caryophanales; Bacillaceae. The record is from RNAcentral.